This 71-nucleotide transfer RNA is filed under the name Marmota marmota marmota (Alpine marmot). It matches the Rfam family "tRNA". From Rfam's summary of the family: Transfer RNA (tRNA) molecules are approximately 80 nucleotides in length. The record is from Rfam by way of RNAcentral. Lineage: Eukaryota; Metazoa; Chordata; Mammalia; Rodentia; Sciuridae. RNAcentral also lists the same sequence under 1 other name.
GGGGAGGUAGCUUAUUUGUAGAGCACUUGCCCAGCAGGCAUGAGGCCCUGGGUUCAAUCCCCAGUUCUGCA